UACGUAGGGGGCAAGCGUUGUUCGGAAUUACUGGGCGUAAAGGGCGCGUAGGCGGCAUGGCAAGUCGGGAGUGAAAGGCCUGGGCUCAACCGAGGAACUGCUUUCGAGACUGCCAAGCUAGAGUGCGGAAGGGGCGUCUGGAAUUCCCAGUGUAGCGGUGAAAUGCGUAGAUAUUGGGAAGAACACCGGUGGCGAAGGCGGCUCUCUGGAACGGUACUGACGCUGAGACGCGAAAGCGUGGGGAGCGAACAGG
Molecule: ribosomal RNA, 253 nt
Filed under: uncultured bacterium
Lineage: Bacteria
Description: partial 16S ribosomal RNA
Rfam family: Bacterial small subunit ribosomal RNA
Source: RNAcentral